This 3295-nucleotide long non-coding RNA is filed under the name Sorghum bicolor (sorghum). RNAcentral describes it as "long non-coding RNA (SBIC_LNC006005)". Lineage: Eukaryota; Viridiplantae; Streptophyta; Magnoliopsida; Poales; Poaceae. The record is from RNAcentral.
GAAAAAUAUGGUACAUGUUAACCAUCUAUUGUACUUGAUCAAUGGUUAUUACAUCAGUGAUCCACAAAUUGUUUCGAGAUAAGAACAAAAUUUUACUAAUGGAUUGUGCCAUGUCCCAUAUAACCUUACACUUUCUCUGUGGCCUCCAAUCUCCAUGAUACAUACGUCCCACUUGACAACACAACUUAGAUUAGCUACAAACUCUUUUUACUCUAUAUGUUUAUGAGGUAUUAUACUAUAAAUCCCUUCUUGCUCUGCUUCUGCUCACCCCUGUCUCCUCUCAUCUUUCCGGCUCCCGCCACGAGGGAAAAUGAAUGAAUCUUGUGUGGAUGUCUGAGUUACAGCUGCUGGUGACCCUUGCUCAGCUGUGCUACAUCCUUGUAUUAUUAAUCUUCAUGCCAUUUCCUGCUCCAAUUAACUCUCUGGAAAUAGAAACCUUGCAACUACUUUCGUCAACCAAGUUAGUUUUCAUCUAAUUUGAUAUGUACCUGCAAAGCCAUGACAAAUGAACGAAUAGUUAAUCUUGGAGUGAAACCAUAGAAUUGACAGCGCAAAGCUGAAUGUAAAAUCCGAGCACAACAUCAUAUCCAACUAAGAUUUGGGAUACCUUUUCCUGCAAGCAGGCCACACAGCAACAACAUCUCCAAAGCUAAGCAUCAGUUCGAAUAUAUGCUCAAUCCUCCAUGUCACUGGAAGUAACAUCUAAGCACCUGAAAGACUAAUCUUGUAUCAGACUAUCAGUAGGCAACAACUGCAGAGCAGUAACUAUAUGUGAGCAUAUCACAUAAAUCAAAAGACAAUUUAAAUGAAAGGGUCAAUUAUUAAAAGGAGAAAAUCUUAAGAUGGCAUGCCUCAAACCCAGCAGAGAGGCAAGCAGCCCCCAAAAACAUACUGUAGUGAUCGCUGAUGAAUCCUAAACUUAUCCUAAUCUACUUCACUUCAAAUGCGGUGUGCCACAAUUGGAUUACAACCACCGAUUGUAGAAAUAAAAAUGUGUUGAUAUGGGAGAGCUUUGCCUUCCAGGUGGCCUCUAGCUCGGCGACCUCAUGCUCACGCAAUGCAAUGUAGCUCUGCAUCUCACGCUCCUUCAUGGUGUGAAAAAAAAAACAGAAAACAAGAUAAAAUUAGUUUUCAGUUGCUCAUAUCUGCCUCCUUGGCUCUCUGAGAAUCAGGAUGUUUCCCGUUGUUAGGUAUGGUAGGAAACUUAUACUACACAAGAACAACUUCUAUCAAUUUAAAAUUUGAAGUUUCCAUGGUAAAGAUUAUGCUUAGUAUUCUGGACAAUUUCUUGAUCAUGUUCCUUAGCGGGCAAUGUAGUAAAAUUGGGACGAUCUGCUUCAGCAACCAUUGAUUCCAGAUCACCUGGUGUGGUUUGCUCUUGAGCAUUCUUAUCCCCAGGCUGUUGCUGAAAAAAAAAUAAUUUGGAGAUGACAUAUUAGAUGAAAAGUAAAAUAAGCCUUUUUCUCGACCUACAGUUUUCCUAGGCUAAAUGCAGGCUGUAGGAUGUGAUCAGCAAAAAAAGAGUGCCACAGGACAACAAAUUAUUAACAAUAUAAGCAUUUGACAGUAGUUGUACACUGCAGAUUUUCACAUUUGAUCUUAUCUGAAAGUAAAAGUUCUUAUUUAAGAACCUUAAUCCUGAAUAAUCCCAUAAUCUUUCCUAGCAAGUAUAUUGCAAGAUUGUGACAAAUUCUAAUACAUAAUGCAGUGAGCGCUGCUUAUCCCAAAUUAAAUUAGAUUUGUUGCAUCCAAACAAAUGAAUUCUAGUGCCCCAUAGAAUGGAGAUUAAUUAAACCAAUUUUGAAGCAUGUGUCAUACUUUUGAGAAAAAAAUAAAGCUUACCAAAUGAUAGAUGCAGAUAUACCUGUCUUGAUUUUCACUUGUAAUUUCUAAGUCUCUACCUGCAGUCAAAAUUAAUUAUUAGACCAGAACCAAAAAAGGAUUGGAGCAAAGAGUAGGGAUAUCUGUCUUGCAUUCAGUGCAUGCCAGGCUAUUCAGAGGUAAAUCUAAGAAAAGCAAUGCAAUAUCUUGAUAAUCUUCAGUUACUUCUAGUUCUAGCAUUCAUAGCCAAUAGCAAUAAAUACAGAAACAGGUUCAGACUUCUGAAAGAACUGCUUGGUAUAUCCUGUACCUUUUAGAAUGAACUUGAAGGCGAGGACAAGAGGCACCGCAUGCACUACGCAGGCACAGGAGCGCUGGCUGCCGGUGCCACUUUGGGUUCAGAAAUGUAUUCAAAAAUUAAAACAAAAAUCUAAAUAUCCUUUUGUUUUCAUUACCUCUCCCCUCUCUUCCAUCAGUUUUACUCGCACCCCACCGCGCACCCCAAAAAUUUAAACAAAAAAUCUAACUAUCUUCGUUUUCAUUACCUGUCCCCUCUCUUCCAUCAGUUAAAUUACAAGGGUGCAUGGUUCAAUGUUUUGGGCCUUCACUAACCAUAUACCUUUGGUAGUUUUUGACCUGAAAAAUUCAAGAAAUUUUUACUAAAUUUACAGAUAGAUUGCGCAAAAGCCAGGAAGUUCCUUCUAAGAAAAGACAGAAAAAUAUGAAACAAUAAAAAAUGCCUUCCUUUGAAAGCAUCCAUCUCCCUAAAAUUCGUGCCAAAAAAAUUAUUCAAAAGUGUACUCUUUCCUUAAAAGAGUUGGAAUGAACGAUAUAAUCAGAUGAAAGAAAGUUCAUUUGGUGCUGUCCCCACUGUCUUGACAUCAGACAGAGCAUCCCCAUUCGAGGGAUUCGGCAACUCAGCCUACACGAAAUCACCUAAAUGAACGCGCAGUAGGUACUCACCACGGUGUUCUUCCUCGCCACAUCCAAGACCUGUAGAAGAGCAACACAUAACGCAAAUAUCAACAAAUCUGGUAAAGCGUCAGUAGGCAAGGAGGCACGGAGAGGGAUGUUCACCGGGGUCGGCGGCACGAUCGGCGAGGGAAGCAGCGAUGCUGGUGAAGGAGGCAUCAGGCGCGCCCCACGUCUCGACUACCUUGGAGGCGUCCACUGCUCUUGCGUGGGCCUCGACCACUGCAACUAGCAGGGAAGAGAGGAAGAGAAGCACUGCCCUCUCGCCUGCCUGCCGAGGAGAAGCUGCGGGAGGAAGAGAAUCGGCGGCACGGGAGGAGACCACCGUGGCCAUCCAUUUCUUUUUUUCCUUUUUACUUUUUUCCCGAGGUAGCAGGCUUCGAACCUAGGUUGUCUCACGUGGGAAGUGCGGAUGUCAGGCGUUGAGGCUGGAGCAUGUCGUGCGUUGAAGCCUUGGGAGUCGAUACAACCUAUAUUUAUUUUUAAUUUUCAGGUUCAGCCG